GUAAUACGUAGGUCCCGAGCGUUGUCCGNAUUUAUUGGGCGUAAAGGGAGCGCAGGCGGUCAGGAAAGUCUGGAGUAAAAGGCUAUGGCUCAACCAUAGUGUGCUCUGGAAACUNUCUGACUUGAGUGCAGAAGGGGAGAGUGGAAUUCCAUGUGUAGCGGUGAAAUGCGUAGAUAUAUGGAGGAACACCAGUGGCGAAAGCGGCUCUNUGGUCUGUCACUGACGCUGAGGCUCGAAAGCGUGGGUAGCGAACAGGAUUAGAUACCCUGGUAGUNCACGCCGUAAACGAUGAGUGCUAGGUGUUAGGCCCUUUCCGGGGCUUAGUGCCGGAGCUAACGCAAUAAGCACUCCGCCUGGGGAGUACGACCGCAAGGUUGAAACUCAAAGGAAUUGACGGGGGCCCGCACAAGCGGUGGAGCAUGUGGUUUAAUUCGAAGCAACGCGAAGAACCUUACCAGGUCUUGACAUCCCGAUGCUAUUCUUAGAGAUAGGAAGUUACUUCGGUACAUCGGAGACAGGUGGUGCAUGGUUGUCGUCAGCUCGUGUCGUGAGCUGUUGGGUUANNNNNNGCAACGAGCGCAACCCUUAUUGUUAGUUGCCAUCAUUAAGUUGGGCACUCUAGCGAGACUGCCGGUAAUAAACCGGAGGAAGGUGGGGAUGACGUCAAAUCAUCAUGCCCCUUAUGACCUGGGCUACACACGUGCUACAAUGGUCGGUACAACGAGUUGCGAGCCGGUGACGGCAAGCUAAUCUCUGAAAGCCGAUCUCAGUUCGGAUUGGAGGCUGCAACUCGCCUCCAUGAAGUCGGAAUCGCUAGUAAUCGCGGAUCAGCACGCCGCGGUGAAUACGUUCCCGGGCCU
Molecule: ribosomal RNA, 860 nt
Filed under: uncultured bacterium
Lineage: Bacteria
Description: bacterial SSU rRNA
Rfam family: Bacterial small subunit ribosomal RNA
Source: RNAcentral